RNAcentral lists this long non-coding RNA (1094 nucleotides) under Ananas comosus (pineapple). RNAcentral's name for it is "long non-coding RNA (ACOM_LNC034060)". The record is from RNAcentral. Lineage: Eukaryota; Viridiplantae; Streptophyta; Magnoliopsida; Poales; Bromeliaceae.
UUCUUGCUCGCGAGACGAAGGAAUUGCGCAACCGGGUCAUCCCGUAUGUUGAAAGUGCAGUGGAGCAAUCACGAGGAGCGGGAGGCGACUUGGGAGCCUGAGACAGUGAUGAGGGAGUCCUACCCCGACCUGUUCGUUGCCCUGUCUUGAGGUAUGUUUUAAGUUUCGAGGACGAAACUUUUUGUAGUGGGGGAGGAUGUAGUAUUCUGGUUUUUUUGAGUUGGUAAGUUGGGUUGCCUUUGGGUUGGAUAAGGAUGCCACGUGUAAUUACCACAUGCAUCCUUAUCAUGUUAUGGUAAAUGAAGGUAUUCAUUUUUUUUAUUAUUUUAUUUAUUCAUUCUGUCUCUCUCUCUAGUUAAGCUGUACGUAGAGGAGGAGCUCGGGUGGUGUGGAGUUUCGCCGACGUCGCGCCGCGGUGCCGUUCGAGCGUGUGUUCGUCGUCGUAGCAUCGCGAGGGGGUCGGGCGAGGGUCCGAUUCCGCCGUUUUCAAUGUCGCACCGGAUUGUGAUUAGCGUUUCAGGUGGGUUUAUCAUCGGAAUCCUAUUCCUAUAGUAUUGUUGGUCGACAUGUAUUGUUAAUAUUACAAGUUGUUAUUGUUUAGCUCAAAUUCAUGAGUAGGUAUGUUUUCGACAUAUAAACUGAAUUGGGAGCAUGUUAUUAGUUGUUAUUAAUCAUACAUGUGGGACUUGGAUAAAACAUAGGAGAAAACCAGCGUUCGGGACCUGGCAUAUGUUGAACUAUCUGAUUUAGCCCUAGGGGCCGUUGUAUUUUUAUACUGUUGCAGUAUCCUCAUAGUGAGUAUCCCCAGGUAGUUCAGAUUUCAGUUACGCUCGUGCUGGGAUGCCGAGCCGAUUUUUACAGUAGUGUUUACAGUGUUCCGGAUUAGUGGGUGCCGUAGUGGUUGACGGCGGACCCGGAUUUGAUCGUUCCGAUAUCAGAUUGUGCCUAGGGCACGUGACUAGGGGUUGGUAGUACUGUUAGACCUGUUUUCUUGACUUUAGCCUGUGAGAGCUUGAUUGAGCUCGACAGAGAUACGCUUGCAUACUCGGUUGGGUCGCGCCUACGAGUGCCGCUCCGGAGUUUGGCUUUGUACU